AUGAGUUUAACUGGAAGUAGCCUUGCGUAGCUUUGUAAGGCUUAACACAGUUGUUCGUGUCUGGAUUUCGUGUUUGACCCUAGCGUGCCUAAUAGGAUGAGAAGCUUGCAAUGACUGUAAUCUUCUAGUUUGGCCUCCUGUAAAGAACAGACCUUAAUUGCAGGUGGAGGUAAAGUCUGGAGAAGAAUGUGAAGGAAUUGUCUUCAAAGAGAGGGCAGAACUUUACAGCUGGGCCAGAGAUGCCGCUCAGCGGAAGGAGCUCUUGGAGAGCUGAAGCUCCUCUUCCGGACACAGCAGAAGUAUUCCAGGAGCCUCGUGAGAAGGGGCCGAGUUGCUGAGGUGUGUGCAAAGCAUGUCAUCGCCACAGAAAUGAACUCAUUGCCCUCUGAGACAUCAAACUGCUUGAAUUUGGACAGCUACAGGUGAUGCUGACGGUGAAGUGGAAGUAGAGCGAGUUGCGGUCAGAUUAGAAGUUCAAGACCUGGCUGAUUCUUUCGAGAGCAGAUUGAAGAAUGCCAGCAGAGCUUGUCAGAGCUGCAGAAGGGCCAGCUCUCUGUGGCAGCGGAGCUGUCAAAGGACACCGGCCCUGUUGUUGUGUAUUUGGACGUUUCUGCCAGCGAUGAACCUUCAGGACACACAGCCACGGAGCUGCUUUCACACAUUGUCCCUCGGACGGCUGAAAAGCUCAGGGCCCUGUGCACAGGGGAGAAAGGCUCGUGGAUUCAGGAGUACCACGUUUCACAGGAUAGUUAGUGACUUCCUAUGUCAGGUAAGCUUAACGUGAAGGCUUUUCACGGAGAGAAAAAGCCCACCUGGGCUGCAGCACCGCAUGGAUCCUGCCUGAAAGUGGGCUUUUCCAGUUUUUGACUGUAGUGAGAGUAGCCAAAAUCAGCAGGGCUGCUGUCAGCAGCGACGCCUCAAGCUUUCCCGACACUUCUAGAGAGGAUCACGUUUGAUUCUUGGGGAGCUGUGACUUCAUGGGAACGCCACAGCCUGCGUGUGAGACUUCAUUUUGUUCGUGCUGUUAUCUGCCUGAUGGCUCCUCUUUGACAGCUGUUUGAUUUGUGGGCUCUUAGAGCCAGCUUUCAGCCUUUGGCAGCAGCAGGAAGCGGAGCUCCCGACGUGUUGUAGGCAGCGUUUGCUCUGCUCAGGGGCCUUGGCUGCAGCGUGUGUGCAGAGAACAGCGUGCGUGUUUGGCAUGGCUGUGCAGCAGAGAACAGAAAUGGUAGUUUUGUCAUUUUUCAGUGCCUCCCAGGACAGCACUCUGUGGUAGAUCAGAAAUUGGUGUGCGUGUUGGAUUUGCUGUUUAGCAGGUGCAUUCUCCUGCUGCAUCUCUGUGCAUCUCUGUAUCCUACUGUACUUUGACU
Long non-coding RNA from Tympanuchus pallidicinctus (lesser prairie-chicken), 1367 nucleotides. RefSeq lists it as uncharacterized. Lineage: Eukaryota; Metazoa; Chordata; Aves; Galliformes; Phasianidae. The transcript has 3 exons. The record is from RefSeq and is a predicted model, not a curated record.